CAGCCGUAAACUAUGCUCGCUAGGUGUCAGGCAUGGCGCGACCGUGUCUGGUGCCGCAGGGAAGCCGUGAAGUGAGCCACCUGGGAAGUACGGCCGCAAGGCUGAAACUUAAAGGAAUUGGCGGGGGAGCACAACAACGGGUGGAGCCUGCGGUUUAAUUGGACUCAACGCCGGACAACUCACCGGGGACGACAGCAAUAUGUAGGCCAGGCUGAAGACCUUGCCUGAAUCGCUGAGAGGAGGUGCAUGGCGUAGACGUCU
RNAcentral lists this ribosomal RNA (261 nucleotides) under uncultured archaeon. RNAcentral's name for it is "partial 16S ribosomal RNA". It matches the Rfam family "Archaeal small subunit ribosomal RNA", at positions 748 to 1009 of the family's 1478-position model. The record is from RNAcentral.